AAGAAUCGCCCCGUUUUUUCCGAAAAAUGGGUUCUAUUCCCACAACCGUGUAUACUACCUUUGUUGCUUUGGCGGGCCGCCGUCUCGGCGUUGGCUCCGGCUGACUGUGCCCGCCAGAGAACCACAACUCUUCUGUUUAGUGAUGUCUGAGUACUAUAUAAUAGUUA
This 167-nucleotide unclassified non-coding RNA is filed under the name uncultured fungus. RNAcentral describes it as "sequence contains ITS1, 5.8S rRNA gene". Lineage: Eukaryota; Fungi. The record is from RNAcentral.